AAUUACGCAAAAAAACGAAAGUGAUAGUAUCAAAAAAAAAGAAGAGGACAAAGAAAAUUAGCAGAGAACCUAAAAAGAAAGAAAAGAAAUGUUAGAAUUCUUUUCUAGAAGAAAGGGAAAAAUUUUGAAAAGGAAAAAAAAUAAAAAUAAAAAUAAAAAUAAAAAUAAAAUAUAUUAUCAAAUCUCAACUCCACACUAACCACUCAACCUCAAUCUCAACCUCAACUACCUCAGAAUUCCAAGACCACC
This 249-nucleotide long non-coding RNA is filed under the name Gossypium raimondii (Peruvian cotton). RNAcentral's name for it is "long non-coding RNA (GRAI_LNC008676)". The record is from RNAcentral. Lineage: Eukaryota; Viridiplantae; Streptophyta; Magnoliopsida; Malvales; Malvaceae.